This 492-nucleotide ribosomal RNA is filed under the name uncultured bacterium. RNAcentral describes it as "partial 16S ribosomal RNA". It matches the Rfam family "Bacterial small subunit ribosomal RNA", at positions 28 to 507 of the family's 1533-position model. The record is from RNAcentral.
GAUGAACGCUAGCUACAGGCUUAACACAUGCAAGUCGAGGGGAAACGGCAUUAAGUGCUUGCACUUUUUGGACGUCGACCGGCGCACGGGUGAGUAACGCGUAUCCUACCUUCCCAUGACUAAGGGAUAACCUGCCGAAAGGCAGACUAAUACCUUAUGGUCUUCACUGACGGCAUCAGAUGUGAAGUAAAGAUUUAUCGGUUAUGGAUGGGGAUGCGUCUGAUUAGCUUGUUGGCGGGGUAACAGCCCACCAAGGCAACGAUCAGUAGGGGUUCUGAGAGGAAGGUCCCCCACAUUGGAACUGAGACACGGUCCAAACUCCUACGGGAGGCAGCAGUGAGGAAUAUUGGUCAAUGGGCGAGAGCCUGAACCAGCCAAGUAGCGUGCAGGAAGACGGCCCUAUGGGUUGUAAACUGCUUUUGGAUGGGGAUAAAGUCAAUCACGUGUGAUUGUUUGCAGGUACCAGACGAAUAAGGACCGGCUAAUUCCGUG